This 94-nucleotide transfer RNA is filed under the name Streptomyces virginiae. RNAcentral describes it as "tRNA-OTHER". It matches the Rfam family "tRNA". Rfam says of the family: Transfer RNA (tRNA) molecules are approximately 80 nucleotides in length. Their secondary structure includes four short double-helical elements and three loops (D, anti-codon, and T loops). Further hydrogen bonds mediate the characteristic L-shaped molecular structure. tRNAs have two regions of fundamental functional importance: the anti-codon, which is responsible for specific mRNA codon recognition, and the 3' end, to which the tRNAs corresponding amino acid is attached (by aminoacyl-tRNA synthetases). tRNAs cope with the degeneracy of the genetic code in two manners: having more than one tRNA (with a specific anti-codon) for a particular amino acid; and 'wobble' base-pairing, i.e. permitting non-standard base-pairing at the 3rd anti-codon position. The record is from RNAcentral. Lineage: Bacteria; Bacillati; Actinomycetota; Actinomycetes; Kitasatosporales; Streptomycetaceae. RNAcentral also lists the same sequence under 1 other name.
UCCUUCGUAGCUCAGAGGUCAGAGCACUCGGCGCGCCGCCCUUCGGGGUACAGGAAAAGAGUUGUCGCGGGUUCGAAUCCCGCCGAGGGACCCA